AGAUGAGGAAGUUGCUGAGUUUGUGAAAUACAUCCAGAGACACACAAAUGAUAUCAAAUGGGGAGGUGCGUUUCAGGAUGGGGCCGGUUCUACAGUUGGAGAAGAGGUGGAGCAAGUAAACAGUUUCCUGUCUAGGGCGGCCAUCACAACGAAGUACAUGUCUAAAGCAGGUGUGUGUCUGUGUGUGAGAUUCCACUCAGUCUCCUGCUCAUUCAUUCUUAUUUGUAUACUAACUGAAAUGCAGGGCGAACAGACAUGCUGAGCCUCCUGGCUUUGGGCUGGAACAAAAGGAAAGUGGAACAACUGGGCUGCACUUUGAGCCAGAGAUAUCUAAAGAUCAUAAGGAUCCUUAGAGAACAAGUGGAGAGCCUGAAUGCGAGCAGAAAUGAGCUGGGUGUGGAUGACGACACACUGCAGCA
This is a non-coding RNA of Maylandia zebra (zebra mbuna), 419 nucleotides long. Lineage: Eukaryota; Metazoa; Chordata; Actinopteri; Cichliformes; Cichlidae. The record is from RefSeq and is a predicted model, not a curated record.